AUUCUUAACGGGUCUCAACCCUGGGUUGAGAGCCUUUUGGACCCCAAAAUACACAAUACCACACACCCCAAACACCAUCUAAACUAUUUGUUUGUAAAACCCAAACCAAACCAUCUAUUAGGCCAAUCCAUUACAAACCAACCCAAAUGAGCUUAUUAUAGAAACUAAACCAAUAAAACCAAUAAAUCCAACCCAAUUAUAUUAACAGGGCUACAUACGGAGUACUAGUAUGAAGUAUUUACUAUACGUCUGUUGACUACUACACACCAAGAUGCCGACGUCACAUCAAGAGUUCAAUUAUUCACAUCCCGAUCUUGAUCUGAGUUUGUAGUUUUGGAAAAUUGGUGUGUACAAAAGACGAUGAGUUUACUUUGCAUUCUUUGAUUUCAAAUGUGUAUUGUAUAGGUGUAUCAUAUGUAUGGCAUACUCUCUCAGUUCCAAAAAGAAUACAACUCAAUCUCACUUCCCGAGGAGUCAAACAGUUUCAAGUUUGACCAAAUUAAUACAAAAAUGUACUAACAUUCAUAUCUAGAAAU
RNAcentral lists this long non-coding RNA (536 nucleotides) under Setaria viridis. Its description in RNAcentral is "long non-coding RNA (SVIR_LNC004821)". Lineage: Eukaryota; Viridiplantae; Streptophyta; Magnoliopsida; Poales; Poaceae. The record is from RNAcentral.